UUGGUUCCUCCCACUCCAUCCAGUUGCUACAAAGAACACUUGUUCGUGCUGGCUUCUGAAAAUCAUCAAUCCUCAUUAACAAAUGUCUUUGAUAUUUAGUAGCACAGCCAUUUUGUCUCCAAAGAUGCUUAACUUCGUUCAAGGUAAAUGAUAUGUUUGAAUAAGAGACAUGAUCCCCAAAUGGAAAUUUCUUCCUGCAAAGAUGCAAAUUAACCAAGUAUUAGGGAAAAAAAUCAAAAUCAACAUAGUAUUUAUUAUUAGUAACAGUAAAAGAUGGAAAAAAGCUCCAGAAAAAAGCUCCAGUAAAAUUCAUCGCUCCUAGUAUGUAUAUUUCCCAUGUAAAAGCCUAGACAUCGUUGGUGAAUGCAUGCAACAAUCUAUCAAUAAAUGAUUCAAGUAAAAAAAACUCAGGCAGUAUAUGUGUAGCUGACACAAAGUUGUAAAUUCAUCUUUGGAAUUAAACUCACUAAAGGUGGAAUAGAGUUAUAUAUUGGAUCAAAUGUUUCUCAUAGUGAAUUAUAUAUUAUGAUCACAAAUGCAUGCACAGUCUUGUGUUAUCAACCAAGAAUAAAAUUGAGUAACACUAUGAAAACCUAGACAAAAAUGCUAUAAUUUCAUCGUUAGCAUAAAAUUCAUGCACAUAGCCAGAGAAGCAUGCAGCAAUAUCAACUGCCUAACAGAUCGGAUCACUAACAAAGUAUCAGUGCACAAAAAAUGGCAAAUUGGAAGAUCAGUGGUUACUUUUGUUCAUCAUUUAGGUGAAAUUAAUGGAUAAACAUAUAUAAAGGCUUGAGAGAUAACCAAUAUGCCUGGUUUGUUCGUGCUGGCUUCUGAAAAUCAUCAAUCCUCAUUAACAAAUGUCUUUGAUAUUUAGUAGCACAGCCAUUUUGUCUCCAAAGAUGCUUAACUUCGUUCAAGGUAAAUGAUAUGUUUGAAUAAGAGACAUGAUCCCCAAAUGGAAAUUUCUUCCUGCAAAGAUGCAAAUUAACCAAGUAUUAGGGAAAAAAAUCAAAAUCAACAUAGUAUUUAUUAUUAGUAACAGUAAAAGAUGGAAAAAAGCUCCAGAAAAAAGCUCCAGUAAAAUUCAUCGCUCCUAGUAUGUAUAUUUCCCAUGUAAAAGCCUAGACAUCGUUGGUGAAUGCAUG
This 1145-nucleotide long non-coding RNA is filed under the name Daucus carota (carrot). RNAcentral's name for it is "long non-coding RNA (DCAR_LNC002858)". The record is from RNAcentral. Lineage: Eukaryota; Viridiplantae; Streptophyta; Magnoliopsida; Apiales; Apiaceae.